GUCUUCAGAAAACUUUUCAGUUUUGGGAGUACUGAGAUAUAUUCCCAUUGCUAUCUUCUGAAGAGCAAUUAAUAGAAAAUGAAGAAGAAAAAAGAGAAUUGAUAAGAGAAGAAGAAGAAGAAGAGGAAGAAGAAGAGGAUUGAUAAGGAAUGAAAUUGAAUGAAGUAACUCAGGCAGAAGAAGAAGGAUGAUGACUGUUGAAAGACUGAAAACACAACAUUGUCAUUUUCUCUCUCUUCGAUUUUGUUCUUAUCUUCUUUAUUUAUUUAUUCGUUUUAUUGAUUGA
Molecule: long non-coding RNA, 286 nt
Filed under: Medicago truncatula (barrel medic)
Lineage: Eukaryota; Viridiplantae; Streptophyta; Magnoliopsida; Fabales; Fabaceae
Description: lncRNA gene19150
Source: RNAcentral